UACGUAGGGGCCGAGCGUUGUCCGGAGUUACUGGGCGUAAAGCGCGCGCAGGCGGCUCGUCAAGCCUGACGUGAAAGCCCCCGGCUCAACCGGGGAGGGUCGUCGGGGACUGGCGGGCUUGAGGUCGGCAGGGGUUGGUGGAAUUCCCGGUGUAGUGGUGAAAUGCGUAGAUAUCGGGAGGAACACCUGUGGCGAAAGCGGCUCACUGGACCACAACUGACGCUGAUGCGCGAAAGCUAGGGGAGCAAACAGG
Molecule: ribosomal RNA, 253 nt
Filed under: uncultured bacterium
Lineage: Bacteria
Description: partial 16S ribosomal RNA
Rfam family: Bacterial small subunit ribosomal RNA
Source: RNAcentral